RNAcentral lists this ribosomal RNA (253 nucleotides) under uncultured bacterium. RNAcentral's name for it is "partial 16S ribosomal RNA". It matches the Rfam family "Bacterial small subunit ribosomal RNA", at positions 524 to 776 of the family's 1533-position model. The record is from RNAcentral.
UACGUAGGGAGCAAGCGUUGUUCGGAUUUACUGGGCGUAAAGGGCGCGUAGGCGGCAAUUCAAGUCACUUGUGAAAUCUCCGGGCUUAACUCGGAACGGUCAAGUGAUACUGCUUUGCUAGAGUGCGGAAGGGGCAAUCGGAAUUCUCGGUGUAGCGGUGAAAUGCGUAGAUAUCGAGAGGAACACCUGAGGUGAAGACGGGUUGCUGGGCCGACACUGACGCUGAGGCGCGAAAGCUAGGGUAGCAAGCGGG